This 69-nucleotide transfer RNA is filed under the name Jenkinsia sp. CL54. RNAcentral describes it as "tRNA-Met". It matches the Rfam family "tRNA". From Rfam's summary of the family: Transfer RNA (tRNA) molecules are approximately 80 nucleotides in length. Their secondary structure includes four short double-helical elements and three loops (D, anti-codon, and T loops). Further hydrogen bonds mediate the characteristic L-shaped molecular structure. tRNAs have two regions of fundamental functional importance: the anti-codon, which is responsible for specific mRNA codon recognition, and the 3' end, to which the tRNAs corresponding amino acid is attached (by aminoacyl-tRNA synthetases). tRNAs cope with the degeneracy of the genetic code in two manners: having more than one tRNA (with a specific anti-codon) for a particular amino acid; and 'wobble' base-pairing, i.e. permitting non-standard base-pairing at the 3rd anti-codon position. The record is from RNAcentral. Lineage: Eukaryota; Metazoa; Chordata; Actinopteri; Clupeiformes; Clupeidae.
AAUAUGGUAAGCUAAAAAAGCUUUCGGGCCCAUACCCCGAAUAUGUUGGUUAAACCCCCUCCCAUAUUA